AUGCAAGUUGUUUCUCCAGAAAAGCUUAUGACUUCUAGUUUGGUUGCUCCCGAUGUCUCUGUCCAGUUUGGAGACUAUAAAUUUCUGUCCUCUCCAAUUGUUCUUGGUGACAAUGAUAUUGAUCUAAUUCUCGGGAUGGACUGGCUUUCUAACCACAAGGCUCCGCUUGAUUGUGCUGCCAGAGAAAUUCAAUUGACACACUCUUCUGAGGAAGUGAUCAUCUAUGCCGCUCGUGACGAAACCAUUCGACUAUUUUCUGUCAAUGAGAAGGGCGAGUUGAAUGCCAUCUGUCAUAUUCCAGUCGUUUGUGAAUAUCAAGACGUCUUUCUAGAAGAGCUUCCAGGAAUACCUCCUCACCGGCCAGUUGAAUUCGUCAUCGAUCUUGAGCCUGGCACGGAACCUGUUUUCAAACGUCCUUACGAG
This 423-nucleotide ribosomal RNA is filed under the name Triticum aestivum (bread wheat). RNAcentral's name for it is "partial small subunit ribosomal RNA". Lineage: Eukaryota; Viridiplantae; Streptophyta; Magnoliopsida; Poales; Poaceae. The record is from RNAcentral.